UUGAAAUUAAAAUCUGUCAUAUUUUCAAGUCUGUACACAUUGCAUGAUUAACAUAGAAGAACAACCCAGUUGUAUCAUCCGUUUAACAUAUUCUGGUCAUUUGCAUACAAAUGUAAAUACAAAUGUAUAAGCUCAGUAUAAACAACUGUACCAGCACUUUCGUGAGCAUCGCUUAGACUGUCUGACAUAAAGAUAAGAUUGUUUCUAUAAACGUACUGGAAAGAGAUACUAUAGCUAGUAUGGGGUUGAUACGGUAAGACACCGUACUCGUGGAAAGUACAUACUAUGUCAAGAAUGGGUGAGCAUUUAUCUGUCACCUUCUGAUUUCUGUCUAUACAAUUAUUGAUGAAAUCAGAACAAAUAGAUACAGUAUAUUAUACGCCUUAAGUCUUCUUCCUCCACUCAUUUGGCAGCCACCAGUAACUGGUUUAGACCGGUUUCGUGCAGAGCUGACUAGUCGAGGAACUAGAUUCCCCCACAGUGACGUCAUGCGUGGGUACAUGUGAUCUUUGACCGACAUGUUGGUGUUCAGAGCGAAGUACGAUUCAGAAGUGUCGUUGAACUCUGGCCAGCCAUUUGGAAUCUUGUUUGAAAGACUGGCACUGGGGUUUCUGUAACAAAGAACAAUAUAAAUUUGCUUCAAUAUUAUGGUUAUGUUUAGUUUCAGACUUACCUUUGAAAAAUCCGAGCCAGAUUUUGAUCAUGAUCGAACAGACAGACAUACGUCUUUCCUGACCCUGGGACGUCUGAGUGUGUCCUAGCCAGAUCUGACGCAGACGUCACAAAGACGUCAUUGAUGAACCUAACGGCGGAAUCCUUUUUAAUCAGUUCUGUUGUGAAAUUCAGAGGAUCAAGUGGCGGACUUGACAGCUGAGAUGGAAGUACCCAUAGCGGGUGUCACUGGUGGCCAGGAUAUACUCACCUUUCGCGGACACCUGAUAUCAUCAGUUUUCAUAAGUGCAUGUUAUCACAGCAAUAUUUAUUCCAAUGACCUCUGUCCUGUGCUAGCUUUGAUUUAGAAACUAGUCUGGAAGUGGCAACCCUCUUUGCACGGUGCAGCAAAGAUGUUUGUCCAGUGAAGGAUCUCCUAGGAAGUAGCUGUCCUCCUAUAGACUAGGUACUAGAUAGAGUGACAGAAUCAACACUAUUUUGUCAAUUGCCCAUUCGACUCUGCAUUGUGCAGAGAUACGUGCUUGAUAAUGGAAAAUAGUGUUGUCGUUCAUAUUCUUCUAACGUUGUCAAUUGUACGAUGGUUUUACAGUUCAUUAUAAACUGUAACAAUUAUUAUAUGUUUUGGGUUGUUGUGUGUGUUCGUUUGUUUGGGUUUUUUUAGUGGGUUUUUUUUUUAAUGAAUAACAAUUAUUUCUCGUUCCUAAUUAAAACCUUUAUUUUUGAAACAUGAGACUGGCGAAGUGACUUUAAAGGUACAAUCAUGCUCUUAACACAGACAAUAUUUACUAGGUAAAAUGACCAGUGGUUCGCUCUAUAUACCACUGGGUGGGCAUACGUUUAUACGUUUACCUGAGGCAGGAUAUGCUCACCUUUCACGAAUUCACAUUAAUAUUAUUAAAGUAUACUACAUACGGUGUUAACAUUUUCUACAGUUAUUUAUUUUUAAAAUGAAUCAUUAAAUAUUUUACAAAUAUAUCGUUGAUGUUCAUAUCAGGUGACUUCGCAGAGUAAGCCUUGAAAUUCCGUUAUAAAACAACAAAAGUCACCUCCCAUGUUGAAACUGUCACAUGGUUGUUACACAUAAAUUUAUAUGACGAUUUCUUUUCAUAAGACCACCGGUCUCGGCAGUGUUAUGGUUAAGGCAUGAUAAGGAAUUCAAAGCUGUUUGGAAACAUACAAUGUAUGAAUGUCUUGGUAAAUAUUUGAAUAUGAAUUUAUCUUAUAAUACAUUUAAUAUUGUUUAUAAUAAAACUGCUUUGGAUGCUAGAGUCUUGUUAUAAUGGGAUACUGUCUGAAAUAGUGAACCUUUUUUUUAAAGUUAGAGUUUGAUCAAUUAUGGUCUCAACCACCUUUCCACAAUCCCAUUAUUACUUAUAAAAACACGUUGUUUUUUAACUCAUUUAUUGAAAUUGAUAUUAGAACUAUUGCUGAUGAAAUGAUACCUGGGUUUUUUCCUGUAUCACCCAUUAUUGAACAUAUUUACGAAAAGUGUUCUGAUAUUUUUGUCAACGAUAUUUUUUCUGCGUAUUAUGUAAUCUUGAACUCUAUUCCAGAUGAAUGGAAACAUCUUAUUGUAAACAAUGAUGCAAAUUAGUCUCAAGUUUUUAAUUUAUUUUAAAAUAAUAAUGGGGAUACUAUUAAUGUAAAUAAAUUCAGUGUGAAAUUAAUACAUUCCAUAUUAAUUUCACAGAAAUUUAAAAUGCCUUCUUGUUUAGCAAAAUGGCAUGAUAUGGGUUUUAAUAUAUUUUGGAAAUCUGUUUGGAAAAUAUAUAUAUAUUAUAGUGAUGAAACGUCUGAAUGUAUUGAUUUGGAUUUUAAAAUUACACCUAACGUUAUUUUUACAUAUCGUAAAUUACAUGUAUUUAAAUAUGGCAAACUUUUAUCAAGUGUAUUCAAAAGAAGAUGAAGAUAUGUGUCAUUUAUUUUUGUAUUGUGAUAAACUUUAUGAUCUAUUUUUUUCUUUUUCAUGAAAUAUUGUUUUUGUCUUUAUAACAGCUUAAAAACUAUUACUCUUUGGUUGUUGUGUUAAAAUACAGUGCUGUUCGGUGGAAUUCGUAAAUGUGUUGUUGUCUAUAUAUAUAUAUACAGAGAGAGUAUCUUUAACAAGAGACGUAUAAUAGCUGAGGCAAAGGGUUCAAACAUCAAUAUCGUAUUGUUCUUCAAACAUUAUAACGUCAGUACUUUACAGUUCUCUUUAAUCAUUAUCGCUAUCAUAAUACAUUUUCU
Long non-coding RNA from Gigantopelta aegis, 2898 nucleotides. RefSeq lists it as uncharacterized. The transcript is spliced from 3 exons. The record is from RefSeq and is a predicted model, not a curated record. NCBI's taxonomy places the organism in Eukaryota, Metazoa, Mollusca, Gastropoda, Neomphalida, Peltospiridae.